UUUUACGGAGAGUUUGAUCCUGGCUCAGGACGAACGCUGGCGGCGUGCCUAAUACAUGCAAGUCGAGCGGGGGUGUUGAGGUAGCUUGCUACCGAGGCAUCCUAGCGGCGGACG
RNAcentral lists this ribosomal RNA (114 nucleotides) under Bacillota bacterium. RNAcentral's name for it is "Firmicutes bacterium (anaerobic digester metagenome) partial 16S ribosomal RNA". It matches the Rfam family "Bacterial small subunit ribosomal RNA", at positions 1 to 104 of the family's 1533-position model. The record is from RNAcentral. Lineage: Bacteria; Bacillati; Bacillota.